UGCCCAGCAACUCCUAUCCCUACCUCCUCGCGGUACUGGCCGGGGUACGAGUAACCUUAGGGAAGAUCGGGUAGCCAACCCCGGUGGGAACUCUGGUCGUAUGCUGACAGUGAAGG
This 116-nucleotide ribozyme is filed under the name Aedes aegypti (yellow fever mosquito). RNAcentral's name for it is "drz-agam-1 ribozyme". It matches the Rfam family "drz-agam-1 ribozyme". The record is from Rfam by way of RNAcentral. Lineage: Eukaryota; Metazoa; Arthropoda; Insecta; Diptera; Culicidae.